This 501-nucleotide ribosomal RNA is filed under the name uncultured bacterium. RNAcentral's name for it is "partial 16S ribosomal RNA". It matches the Rfam family "Bacterial small subunit ribosomal RNA", at positions 28 to 507 of the family's 1533-position model. The record is from RNAcentral.
GACGAACGCUGGCGGCGUGCCUAAUACAUGCAAGUCGGGCGGACCGACCGAGGGCUUGCUCUUGUUUUGUUAGCGGCGGACGGGUGAGUAACACGUGGGCAACCUGCCCACAAGACCGGGAUAACUCCGGGAAACCGGAGCUAAUACCGGAUAAUACCUAAAACCGCAUGGUCUUCGGUUGAAAGGCGGCCUUUCUGCUGUUUCUUGCUGAUUGGCCCGCGGCUGCUUUGCUAGGUAGGGAAGUAACGGCCCACCAAAGCGAAGAUGCGGAGCCCGACUGGGAGGGGGAACGGCCCACAUGGGAAUGGGACCACGCUCAGAAUUCUUAGGGAGGCAGGCGGAGGGGAAUCUUCGGCAAUGGCCGAAGGCCGGACGAGGGAACGCGGGUGGGCGAAGAAAGCUCUCGGGUCGUAAAGACCUGUUGUGAGGGAAGAAGGAGAGCCGUUAGAAGAGGGCGGCACCGUGACGGUACCUAACGAGAAAGCCACGGCUAACUACGUG